GCCAGCAGCCAUAUCACCCUGCAACUCACAACUGGCAGCCCACUGAAGCUCAGCAGGUGUGAGCCUGGUCAGUACCCGGAUGGGAGACCUCCGGGGAAAAACUAAGGUUGCUGCUGGAA
Molecule: ribosomal RNA, 119 nt
Filed under: Lepisosteus oculatus (spotted gar)
Lineage: Eukaryota; Metazoa; Chordata; Actinopteri; Semionotiformes; Lepisosteidae
Source: RNAcentral